AUUCUAUUCACUACAUACACAGCUUUUGGGAGCUGAAGGGAGGGAGGGUCAGUCUUAACUUGAUUAUCUCUCAGCAGUUUUAAACAUUAUACCCACCGAGAAUGGUGGCAUGUGCUUACAGUCCUAGCAUUCAUGACACAGAGGCAAAGUGUGUUUGAGGCCAACCCGGGUGACAUGAGGCUCUGUUUCAAAGCGAGAAAACUCAAAGAAAGGAAGAAAGAAAAAAAAACUAAUGACCUUUGAUGCUUCAGAAUAAUGUACUUCGAGACUCUGCUUCAAAAAACCGCCAACCCAGGACUGAGUCGUACCUCUGUGGUAAAUGCCUAGCGUGCCUGAGGCCUGAUCGGCAACAGCACAUAAAUCAGAGCGGAGUUUCAAGAUCAUCCUCACCUGGGAUGAAUCAAGGCCAGCAUGGGUUACGUGAGACUACCAAGCAAACAAACAAACAAAAAUCAAACAAACGAAAAACCUAGGCACCCUUCAAAAUGAGGGAAAAAGUCAAGUGUCUCUGUAUCUAUCCUGGACAUUUCGUAUGAAUGGAAGUGCAUGUCUAACCAUUUGGGUUCAAAAUAACAUCAAGAUCU
RNAcentral lists this long non-coding RNA (584 nucleotides) under Rattus norvegicus (Norway rat). Its description in RNAcentral is "long non-coding RNA NONRATT003819". The record is from RNAcentral. Lineage: Eukaryota; Metazoa; Chordata; Mammalia; Rodentia; Muridae.